This 253-nucleotide ribosomal RNA is filed under the name uncultured bacterium. Its description in RNAcentral is "partial 16S ribosomal RNA". It matches the Rfam family "Bacterial small subunit ribosomal RNA", at positions 524 to 776 of the family's 1533-position model. The record is from RNAcentral.
UACAGAGGUGGCAAGCGUUGUUCGGAAUUACUGGGCGUAAAGGGCGCGUAGGCGGCUCGGCACGUCCGUUGUGAAAUCGCCCGGCUCAACUGGGCGGGGUCGGCGGAUACGGCCGAGCUGGAGCAAGCUAGGGGGUAAUGGAAUUCCCGGUGUAGUGGUGGAAUGCGUAGAUAUCGGGAGGAACACCAGUGGCGAAGGCGGUUACCUGGAGCUUUGCUGACGCUGAUGCGCGAAAGCGUGGGGAGCGAUCCGG